AGGACUACGCUGGCGGCGUGCUUAACACAUGCAAGUUGAACGGAGUGCUCCAAGCAGCAAUGUGAGGAGUGCUUAGUAGCGGACGGGUGAGUAACGCGUGAGCAAUCUGCCUUUGUGAGGGGGACAACACCGGGAAACCGGUGCUAAUACCGCAUGAGACCACGGAAUCGAGUGAUACUGAGGUCAAAGAUUUAUCGCACAAAGAUGAGCUCGCGUCCCAUUAGCUGGUUGGUGAGGUAACGGCCCACCAAGGCGACGAUGGGUAGCCGACCUGAGAGGGUGAUCGGCCACACUGGAACUGAGAUACGGUCCAGACUCCUACGGGAGGCAGCAGUGGGGAAUAUUGGGCAAUGGGCGCAAGCCUGACCCAGCAACGCCGCGUGAGGGAAGAAGGUCUUCGGAUUGUAAACCUCUGUCCGUUGGGGACGAAAAAAAUGACGGUACCCAAGGAGGAAGCUCCGGCUAACUACGUG
RNAcentral lists this ribosomal RNA (473 nucleotides) under uncultured bacterium. Its description in RNAcentral is "bacterial SSU rRNA". It matches the Rfam family "Bacterial small subunit ribosomal RNA", at positions 33 to 507 of the family's 1533-position model. The record is from RNAcentral.